UAUCCUGGGAUGUUCGAUACCCUGCAAUUUUGAACCUACAUUUACUUUUAUGGGAUUCCAAGAUCGCUUGGUUGGAUGCCAGGCCUCCUUUGUAGUGGAAGGCAGAAGACAAGUUGAGGUUACCCACCUAGCUCGGGCUAGGAGUCAAAAUAGCAGGAAACGGCAUUUUGGGU
RNAcentral lists this non-coding RNA (173 nucleotides) under pig gut metagenome. RNAcentral's name for it is "6S / SsrS RNA". It matches the Rfam family "6S / SsrS RNA". From Rfam's summary of the family: E. coli 6S RNA was the first non coding RNA to be sequenced, but its function was unknown until recently. It consists of 184 nucleotides that fold into an extended hairpin structure with a large single-stranded internal bulge. The 6S RNA specifically associates with RNA polymerase holoenzyme containing the sigma70 specificity factor. The record is from RNAcentral.